Molecule: long non-coding RNA, 427 nt
Organism: Oryzias melastigma (Indian medaka)
Lineage: Eukaryota; Metazoa; Chordata; Actinopteri; Beloniformes; Adrianichthyidae
Exons: 2
Source: RefSeq, a predicted model, not a curated record
UCUUAUUGGAUGUUUUAUCAUUUUGUGCAGCGUAUAUCAGAGAUUUAUGUUUACAGUUUUCACAAUAUUCUGACAAAAAUGUGUGAGCAAAAGGGAAAGUCACUUUUGGGAGCUCGUCAUGCAAGCGCAAGUGUUCAAAAUCUACGAACUUUAAGACCAAAAUUUCCCAAAGAUGCUAAAGGAGGCUUGCAGUUCUUAUGAAGAACGAGGAUGGACGAGGAUGAACAUGAUCAUCAAACACCGUCAGCCACACAUCCAUAAAUGAGAAGAUUAGGAUUUAAGGAUGGACCUUCAUAUUCUCUAUCAAGGGAAAUUCCAUUAAGACACAAGAAAAAAUGUAGCUCCUUCAUAAAAUUUAAAAAAAAUCCCCAAAACGUAAGAAUAAAUAUAUUUUUAGUCUGCUUAUUUGUAUGAUUGAACGCUAAAG